UCGUUUGUUUAGUGAUGUCUGAGUACUAUGUAAUAGUUAAAACUUUCAACAACGGAUCUCUUGGUUCUGGCAUCGAUGAAGAACGCAGCGAAAUGCGAUAAGUAAUGUGAAUUGCAGAAUUCAGUGAAUCAUCGAAUCUUUGAACGCACAUUGCGCCCCUUGGUAUUCCGAGGGGCAUGCCUGUUCGAGCGUCAUUAUAACCACUCAAGCCUCGGCUUGGUCUUGGGGUUCGCGGUCUCGCGUCCCUUAAAAUCAGUGGCGGUGCCGUCUGGCUCUAAGCGUAGUAAUUCUCUCGCUAUAGGGUCCCGGCGGUUGCCUGCCAGAACCCCCCCAUUUUUUACGGUUGACCUCGGAUCAGGUAGGGAUACCCGCUG
Molecule: unclassified non-coding RNA, 374 nt
Filed under: uncultured Meliniomyces
Lineage: Eukaryota; Fungi; Ascomycota; Leotiomycetes; Helotiales; Helotiaceae
Description: sequence contains ITS1, 5.8S rRNA gene and ITS2
Rfam family: 5.8S ribosomal RNA (bases 41-194)
Source: RNAcentral